Molecule: ribosomal RNA, 385 nt
Filed under: uncultured eukaryote
Lineage: Eukaryota
Description: partial 18S ribosomal RNA
Rfam family: Eukaryotic small subunit ribosomal RNA
Source: RNAcentral
CAAUAGCGUAUACUAACGUUGUUGCAGUUAAAAAGCUCGUAGUUGGAUUUCUGACGGUGGUUGGAUUGGUGCGACCGCGUGUUGCAUCAACCAUACUAUUGUCAACACAUGCGAUGAGUUGGUGUGGUCAAUUUAGUUUGAUCCGCCAUUUAAUCGCUCGUUUACUUUGAGAAAAUUAGAGUGUUCAAAGCAGGCAUCUUGCCUUGAAUAUGUUAGCAUGGAAUAAUAAGAUAGGACCUCGGUUCUUUCUUGUUGGUUCGAAGAACUGAAGUAAUGAUUAACAGGGACGGUCGGGGGCAUUUGUAUUUAACUGUCAGAGGUGAAAUUCUUAGAUUUGUUAAAGACGAACUACUGCGAAAGCAUUUGCCAAGGACGUUCCCAUUAA